Molecule: ribosomal RNA, 433 nt
Filed under: uncultured bacterium
Lineage: Bacteria
Description: partial 16S ribosomal RNA
Rfam family: Bacterial small subunit ribosomal RNA
Source: RNAcentral
AACGAACGCUGGCGGCAUGCCUAACACAUGCAAGUCGAACGAGACCUUCGGGUCUAGUGGCGCACGGGUGCGUAACGCGUGGGAACCUGCCCUUAGGUUCGGAAUAACUCCCCGAAAGGGGUGCUAAUACCGGAUAAUGUCUUCGGACCAAAGAUUUAUCGCCUUUGGAUGGGCCCGCGUUGGAUUAGCUAGUUGGUAGGGUCAACGCCUACCAAGGCGACGAUCCAUAGCUGGUCUGAGAGGAUGAUCAGCCACACUGGGACUGAGACACGGCCCAGACUCCUAGGGGAGGCAGGAAUGGGGGAUAUUGGACAAUGGGCGGAAGGCUGAUCCAGCAAGGCCGGGUGAGUGAUGAAGGCCUGAGAGUUGUAAAGCUCUUUUACCCGGGAUGAUAAUGACAGUACCGGGAGAAUAAGCUCCGGCUAACUCCGUG